UCAGGUGACUAUAGCAUCAGGGUUCCACCUCUUCCCAUUCCGAACAGAGAAGUUAAGCCUGAUCACGCCGAUGGUACUGCGUAACAGUGGGAGAGUAGGUAGUCGCCGUUUU
Molecule: ribosomal RNA, 112 nt
Filed under: Bacteroides nordii
Lineage: Bacteria; Pseudomonadati; Bacteroidota; Bacteroidia; Bacteroidales; Bacteroidaceae
Source: RNAcentral